GACGAACGCUGGCGGCAUGCCUAAUACAUGCAAGUCGAGCGAACAGAUGAAGUGCUUGCACUUCUGACGUUAGCGGCGAACGGGUGAGUAACACGUAAGGAAUCUACCUAUAAGCGGGGGAUAACAUUCGGAAACGGGUGCUAAUACCGCAUAAUAUCUUCUUCCGCAUGGAAGAAGAUUGAAAGACGGCUCUGCUGUCACUUAUAGAUGACCUUGUGGUGCAUUAGUUAGUUGGUGGGGUAAUGGCCUACCAAGACGAUGAUGCAUAGCCGACCUGAGAGGGUGAUCGGCCAAAUUGGGACUGAGACACGGCCCAAACUCCUACGGGAGGCAGCAGUAGGGAAUCUUCCGCAAUGGGCGAAAGCCUGACGGAGCAAUGCCGCGUGAGUGAAGAAGGCCUUCGGGUCGUAAAACUCUGUUAUAAGAGAAGAACAAAUUGUAGAGUAACUGCUACAGUAUUGACGGUAUCUUAUCAGAAAGCCACGGCUAACUACGUGCCAGCCGCCGCAGUAA
Molecule: ribosomal RNA, 513 nt
Filed under: uncultured bacterium
Lineage: Bacteria
Description: partial 16S ribosomal RNA
Rfam family: Bacterial small subunit ribosomal RNA
Source: RNAcentral